GAGUUUGAUCGUGGCUCAGAUUGAACGCUGGCGGCAUGCCUUACACAUGCAAGUCGAACGGCAGCACGGGAGCUUGCUCCUGGUGGGCGAGUGGCGAACGGGUGAGUAAUGCAUCGGAACGUAUCCUGGAGUGGGGGAUAACGUAGCGAAAGUUACGCUAAUACCGCAUAUUCUGUGAGCAGGAAAGCGGGGGACCUUCGGGCCUCGCGCUCUUGGAGCGGCCGAUGUCGGAUUAGCUAGUUGUGAGGUAAAGGCUCACCAAGGCGACGAUCCGUAGCAGGUCUGAGAGGAUGAUCUGCCACACUGGAACUGAGACACGGU
RNAcentral lists this ribosomal RNA (321 nucleotides) under bacterium enrichment culture clone ALO1_GLFRUDD03G01G0. Its description in RNAcentral is "bacterial SSU rRNA". It matches the Rfam family "Bacterial small subunit ribosomal RNA", at positions 9 to 330 of the family's 1533-position model. The record is from RNAcentral.